GGAGGUAGUGACAAUAAAUCACAAUGCGGAACUUCUGUUUUGCAAUUGGAUUGAGAACAACGCACAACACUUAUCGAUAAACAAUUGGAGGGCAAGUCUGGUGCCAGCAGCCGCGGUAAUUCCAGCUCCAAUAGCGUAUAUUAACGUUGUUGCAGUUAAAAAGCUCGUAGUUGAAGUGAAGUGUGAACCUUCUGGAUUUUCGUUUGAAUUUCUUGCUGGUUCGCACUCCUUCCAAAUAGUUUGCAUGGGUAUUCACUUAUCUGUGUAUUGCAUUUGGUCAUUUACUGUGAGAAAAUUAGAGUGUUCAAAGCAUACGUUUGUUUGAAUACAUUAGCAUGGAAUAAUUCGAAAAGGCUUUCAUGUUCGAUUUGAUUGGUUUGUUCGUGAAGGCAAGAUUAAAAGGGACAGUUGGGGGUAUUCAUAUUCAAUAGUCAGAGGUGAAAUUCUCGGAUUUAUGGAAGAUGAACAAGUGCGAAAGCA
This 480-nucleotide ribosomal RNA is filed under the name Blastocystis sp. RNAcentral describes it as "SSU rRNA". It matches the Rfam family "Eukaryotic small subunit ribosomal RNA", at positions 460 to 953 of the family's 1831-position model. Lineage: Eukaryota; Bigyra; Opalinata; Blastocystidae. The record is from RNAcentral.